Molecule: long non-coding RNA, 5938 nt
Organism: Gallus gallus (chicken)
Lineage: Eukaryota; Metazoa; Chordata; Aves; Galliformes; Phasianidae
Exons: 2
Source: RefSeq, a predicted model, not a curated record
AUCCUGCUCAAAGUCCACAGGCCCCAUUCUCAAGCUUUAUUUUUGCCAUUUUCCACACCGUUCUCUCACCCCGCCCCCCGUUCAGCCCUACGGGAUUGUAUUUCCACUGCAAGACCCCUCCGUGCCUGGCCCAGAAACCCCCACCCCAGGUCCCCCCCUCCCUGUUUGCCCUGCACACAUCCCACUAAACAUUAACUCCUGCGGGUCAAACCACCACCCCCAGCUCUGCCCUUGUGCUCCCGAGCUCUGAUCCACGGGGAGGGACUUUCAGCCCAUCCUUGCGACGAUCCCCUUAAACUUCUCCAUCGUUUCUCCACCGAGAUAAGAGCCGUCAGGAACCGCCUUCUUCUUUCCAUUCCGUUCGGUUGGCAGCUAAGAGGAACGUUCUCCAGUUGCUGGAAUGCUUCGUGCAAGCCUUGCUUGCUCCUCUCCUCUCGGUUACCUUUGGACAUGGAGGUGCUGAGCUCUGAGCUGCUGCUUCUGCACUCUGCUCUGCUCCUUCCCACCACCAUUUCACCAUCAGUCUGCGCUCAGCCCCACCUGCCCUGUGCCCACAGCACCCCCCCAUCCCAUGCCAUGAGCUGCUGAGGGCUGUGGGGCCGAUGGGAGCAGCUCACAGCUGCUGCAGCUCUCUGCAGAGGGCAGAUGUGGCAAAAGCAGAUCUGACUGCGAGACGUCUCCUCCUCCCACAUCCCCGAAUAUUUCGUUCGGUGAGCUGAAUCACCCCCAUCCAACCACUAAAAAUAGUGGCUUUUCCAUUACUUGCAACGGAACGGUGCAACCUCUCCAUUCCCCGCUUCUCCUAUUUCCAGAUAGGCAUAAAAAAGCCCCCCCAAAAACUCCCAGAGGCGGCCAAGAACAGUGCAGAUGUGGCCCGUGGGGACACAGUGGGGUGGGUUGGUGCUCUCUGAGGUCCUCCCCAUCCUUUGUGGCUCUGUGCAGCCUGAGCCGAUGCCAUCCCGAAGCUCCAUAAGGAAUGCUGUGCAUGGGCUCCCGAAGUCACCCCAGCAACUGCAACAGCAGCUCCAAACGCUGUCACUUUUGCCCACGCUGCGCUCUCAGCCCUUUUGGGAAGUCACUGCGUCACGUCCCACAACACCCAGGGAAGUGCCAGCUCUUAUUUCAAGCUUUUCUUUCGGCAAAUCUGGUUUCUAGAUGUUAUGCCUGUGCUCUGUUCCAUUUUCAGCACAGGCAGCUCAGGCUUUUUCUUCUUUCCUUCGCUUCUUAAUUUCACUCGUGACCCUAAGUUACCUCCUUUUUUAACCUGUGUAAUUAGCAAGUCCUUAAAACACUCGGCUUCAUUAACAGAACACGGAUUACAUAAAUUAGACGCAUUCUUUAGCACAACUCCACUUGCCUACCAAAAACUCCAUCGCCACAAUGAAGAACAGUGGAGGAGUGGCACCCGGGGGCAGUCGGUGGGCACUGUGGGGUGGGUUUGGUCAUCUUAGAGGUCUUUUCCAGUCCUAAUGAUGCUGUGAUUCUAAGAUCCAACUUCCCCGAACACAACUGAAAGGAGAAGGCUGGCACUGCUGCUUCCAAGCCCACCUGCACAAUGCUUGCUUACGGCUUCCCCAUUUCCUAUCAGGGCUCGCUCCCAAUUCCCUCUGCUGCUGCUCUGCAGCCAUUUGCCAAGCAGCCCCAAGUUGGGGAGCUGCCCCCAAGAGCUGCUGUGGGUCUCACACCUCUCAGCUGUGCCUCCAGCACAGCCCUCUGCUGUCUGCAGUCGCUGUGCAAAGAGGGCUCAGCACUGUGCUGGCACCGUCCUCAGCUGAGCAUCCUCAGAGCAUGGCUGUCACCCAAAGCCACCCCCUGCACACAGGCAGGGAGUUAAGAACGCUGUACUGAAGGCAAAGCAGAGGUGUAAGAGCACAUUAAGCCGUUUUCUGGAUGUGGAAAUAGAUCAAUAUAACUACAGCAAAGUUAUUAUUACCACCGUAGCCACGCGAGUGUAACUCCCUCCAUAAUUCUGUGACAGCCACUUCUAUUUCAGGUCAAGUGUGCAAAUGCAGAACUUGCAACACCCUACCGAGAAUAUUAACUGUUACAAAGACCAAGUCCUAAAGAGAGAAUACCUGAAGGUACAGGGACGGGGCGGGGAGGGGGGGAAAGCCCCACGCUUGUCUCCAGUUCCUUUAAUCACAGCACAUUAGCCAAAUGUGAUACACGGGAUCCAGCCUUUAGGUGGGGAGCGUGUUUUGCAGUGGCUCUCCUAACUCUUCAGGAGCUCUAACUCGACUUUCUGCACUGCUCUCCGAGCAAAAGGAAUCAUGCAAACAUCAUGCAAAGAACACACGCUUUGAGCACAGCGCGGGAGAGGUGGUGCAGCCUGGAGAAGGACUAUAAAAAAAGCCCUCGGUGGUGUGUGGGAAGGCUUAGGGGAAUAUUUCAGCACAUCAGGAGCUGAAUCACUGCAUGUAGGUGGAGCCAGACAGAUUGACAAGAUCUGCAACUUGAAAAAUGACCUAAGCCUGAGAUCAAUCAUCUCGCAAAGUCGCUGACGGAGGGGAACAACAGAUGGAUGUGGAUGGAGCAGCACAUCAGGAAGGCACGCUGGGGGAAGCCGUGAGCAGACGUCUCGUUGCCAUGCAUGGGAUUAAUGAAGGAUGCAGCUUCCAGGUAAUGACUGGGAGAAGUCGUGGAGCAGCACUUGAUGCAAAGCUAGGAAUUUAUUGCACAUCAGAUAAAAGCACGAAAAAUAAACGAUUGUAAACCAAGCUUUCAAGUUUUACAGCCCUUCAGAUCAUUGCAUCGCAGUCAAAUCUGCUUCACGGGCUGAUCCAGGACAUAAAACUGUACUCAAAUUACAAGCAAACCCGAGUAAUAACUUCCUAAUUUCCUUCAGAAAGCCCAAACUCGGGGCCUAUUCAUCGCAAGAGCUGUACUUUGUCCAUGCAAAUGCACACAGCUCUCCUCAGCUGAGCAGUUCCUGAGCUCUGCCACUAGAGACAAACCACCACCAGGUCACUCCCUGCCCUACUAUUCCAGUUCUGCACCAUCUCGAAGCAUUUCCCUUUGUGACCCCGCGAGGUACCAAGAACGCACUCAACAUUAAGAGAUUAACUGAAUGGAUUCAAUGAUGGCUUGCCUUGUUUGGUAAAUAAAACUUAUUAGCAGCCGUUGGCACUGGGUCUGUGUCAUCAAUACUCAAUGACAAAGCCAGCCCGUAACCCUGGCAAUCAUUUCUAAUGCCAUUUGGCAGGUCACGCUGGAGUUCAAAAUGUUAUGGCUGCAGAUCAGCCCUCAGCAGACACUGCUCUGUGCUGCUCUCACACGCAGCAGCUGGCCAUGGGGUUAAACAAAAGGGCAAUGCUCUGCCCUCAUUAGUUCAAGGCAGCACGGCUGAUCUCUGAUCAUCCGAGGGCAAACCUGAGCUUUUCGCUCGCUGCAUCCAACCCAGGGUGUGAUAUUCUGGCUUACAGCAGGGAGCUGUGGUGCAUAUCGUGGCUCUGAUAAGUCUGUGUGGUGUGUGACAGCAGCUAUGAACAUGCACUUCAUUGGAUAGGGGGUAACUGCACCUUAUGGACAGGGUGUGAGCCAAAGAUUUGCAUGGGCGCCCUGACUCCUGGAGUUUGGUCUUACAUUUGGGAUUGCAUGCAUACAAACAGGGCUGACUGGAGAGUUAACCCUAAAAACCUGACCUUCCCUUCAUCCCACCCUCUCUCCUCACGUUAUCCUACCUUCUCUUUGAGCAUCAGGCUACGUGGAAUGGGCUCUCUUUAAAGCAAGACCAAUAGGACGUGCCUCAGGUGCUUGGAGAUGGGCCGUCCUUCCCUAUGUUCUGCUCUACCACCUCCUGCAAAGUAGUAAAGAGUGGGAGUGAAUUACAGAAACGAAUAGAGGAAGCAGCAAGGCUCAGCCAGAAGGAAGCUGAGCACGUAGGAAAGAUGGGGAGGGCCCUUUUUGCAGCCAGGCACCAAAGGACCAGCAGCAAAACUCAGCUGACCAAGGAAACUUUAUCAGCACGGCACACUGCCUCUCCCCUCUGCUCCUCACACUGCUGUCAGCCUGGGAGAGAUUAGCUUUCAGCAAGACAGCUGCAAAAUGCAUGCAAUGUUUUGUUCCCUUUCACCUUCAUUUACACUCCCAUUCAGCGUUUCCUCCGCUUACAGAAAGGAGCAGGACAGCCUGCCAGAGCUAUAGAGAAGCAGAAUUACCUCCACCAGCAGCUGAUAAACUGCCACUGCUGGAAAGCUUCCAUUCAGCAGCCUGCUUGGCACAAAGCAAACGCUUUCAGCUCCCACUGCAACCCAAACGUGCCUCGCCUGAUAGAAGCACGUGUUUCUCAUUUGCCAAGUUCAUUCCAGCUCCUCCCCUCGCCCAGGAAGCAGAACAAGAGGGUGCAUUUAUCAGUGAAUUCUCACAUUAAACCUUUUUGCUGCGGUCUCAUUGCUAGGAAGCCAUGGGAGAGGUGGAACAAAAGGCUCCACGUGCUGGGUUCAGCAUGCCCACAGCAGCAGCCCAGCUGUGCCUCUCACGCCUGUUUUCUCUUCCUAAUACACUCGGUUUACAAGCAAGUAAACUCCUCCCUUCUCUUGCUCAACAGGCAGCCCAGCAAGUUGGGCUUCAGAUGGGAGCUGGCUUUCUCUGGGGCACAGCCACCUCCAAGAGCCCUGCAGGCUUAAACUGCACCAAGAUCUGUGCAAAUUGCUGAUUUCACUGCAGAACUAUAAAGCCUCUCCUCCGAGCAGUGCCCCCCACCACCGAGCAGGCUGCUGCUUCCAGGUGGGACGUGAAGCAUCACAAGGAGCCCAGGACAGGGCUGGUUUGGCUUUUGUGAGCUCAGCCAAAGAUGCACGACUGCAGCUGCACUUCCCACUGAAGAUGACCACUUACAAAGCUUGGUGCCAUCCUUUCAGAUGACCAAAGCAGCCUAUCAGUGCAAACACCACGCAGGACAAACCUAAGCCUGAUACAUUUUGCCUGAAUUCCAUUCUAUUACUUUGCUUACGUGGUUUUCUUUACUUAUUCACUGCUUCAAAAGAUACGCCUCGAUAACGACGCUCUCUCCAUCUUGGGGAUAUACAGAAUGAAGGCAGGUCAAUGUGUGCCCCUCCAUCACGUCCACGGCAGCAGGCUGCAAUGAGAAACUCCGUGAUCAGAGCAGCAACGUGAGAAAGACAGAGAGCUCCUUUCCAAGGAACGUUUAUCUACUCACCCAUCUCAGCAAGCAGGUAACGUUAAUCUAAGUUCCUUUGGGUGUCCUGUCCUCCUUUUCUGGUACUCUGAGCAAUCAGCUCCCUCCGUGUGAAUGCAGACAUAGGUAGGCUUUUGAUUUGAUGCAGGAACUGACAGCAAUUUGAACUUCUUGGUUCAUUCUUCUUAAUCUCCGGUGCACCAAAGCAGUACUGUCAGCUCCUCGGUGUUGUGGUGCUACGUAUGCUUAGCGUGGAUUUUCAUUUAAAUAAAAGCAAGCAGAGGCAUUGCUAGAUAUCAAAAGUUUACAGAAAAAACACCAAAAUGGCAUCAGAAUGUGGUCGCUGCUGUCAUAGGAACCCCUCCAGGGCGGGCUAUGGACUUCUAGAGCUAAAAUCCAGCCUAAAACACAGCACACCUCAGGAUGCAGGACUCAGCAGCUUUCCACAACGUCACCCUUAUCCUCCUCUUAUGGACCUCAAACACAGAGAUCCAAACCUGAGCACAGAGCCCACCACGAACAUGUGAACAUCUCCCUGCCCACACAACUGGAAUACAGCACACGACCUCCAAGCAGGGGCUCGAGGGAGGAGAGAAGAGCCUCCACUUUGUGAGAAACAUUUAAUUCAACACAAUGAAUUACAAGAGGACAGGUUUACAGAAUAAUAACCGUAACAGACUGUUUAAAAAGGAAAAUCAUCUUCACUGGCUGCAGUAGAAGGCAAAGACCCCCCAAGGCAAUACCUGGUACAGCAGCAGCAAAGUACAACUUCAGUCUCCUUGCAGUACUCCAAAUGAGCAA